Molecule: transfer-messenger RNA, 343 nt
Filed under: Cyanobacteria bacterium QH_1_48_107
Lineage: Bacteria; Bacillati; Cyanobacteriota
Also listed under: 1 other name
Rfam family: transfer-messenger RNA
About the family: Bacterial tmRNA, also known as 10Sa RNA or SsrA, is named for its dual tRNA and mRNA-like properties. Its role is to liberate the mRNA from a stalled ribosome.
Source: RNAcentral
GGGGCCGUCCCGGAUUCGACAGGUUGGUGAAAGCCGACCCGUGAUGCAGGUCGAGAGUGAGUCUACUCUCGUAAAUUCAGGCUCAACUUCAAAAGUAACUGCGAACAACAUCGUUCCAUUUGCUCGUUCAUAGUCUGACUCCGUUAAGGGCUAUGGACAAAACCCCAACGGAUGCGCACUUUAAUUGCCUCUGGUCGAUUGAGUGCAAAGACUUCACCAGAGAUCCCCACCAUCCGGGAUAAAGGAUGAUUCCUGCCCAGAGGAUUAGAUGGGCUAAACCUGUGAAAGAACGGUAGGGAAAUAUCCAGCCUGGACAGCAGUUCAACUCUGCUCGGCUCCAUUU